AGGGAGAUGCUGGAGGUGUUGAUCUAGGUAGCCAAGCUGAAGCUGGAGGUGUAAUCAUGGAUAUUGUUGAAGGAGUUUGUUCGACCAAAGAUGACAUCAAUGCUAAUGACUCGGUGGAUACUCAUACUCCCACAAGCAAGACUUUGGGAAAAAGGCCUAAUGAGAGUGGUGACUAUGCUGAUGGGGGUGGUUUGUCUGCAACAAAUAAAAUUCAGAAGCUUGCCAGUAUGGAAAAAUUGGAUUAAUGUGUUUAUGUUUGUCCUAUUUUGAUGUGUUUACCGUUGUCUGUUGCCGUAUUUUAUUAUAUUUCUGUCAUAUUGAACUCAGUUUUCUAUGUUUUAAUGUGUUUGUGUCUUAAUUGAGUCAGUUUUACUAUGCUUUAUUGCGAUGUGAAACAUUAUUUUGUUAUGAUGUGAAACAUUAUUUGUUGUGGCCAUUUUCUUUUGAUCUGAAUUAAUUUACCUUUCUGAGUUUGGAACCUUA
Molecule: long non-coding RNA, 483 nt
Organism: Medicago truncatula (barrel medic)
Lineage: Eukaryota; Viridiplantae; Streptophyta; Magnoliopsida; Fabales; Fabaceae
Exons: 2
Source: RefSeq, a predicted model, not a curated record